This 89-nucleotide non-coding RNA is filed under the name Chloroflexota bacterium. Its description in RNAcentral is "Chloroflexi bacterium c-di-GMP sequence". It matches the Rfam family "c-di-GMP-I-GGC riboswitch aptamer". The record is from RNAcentral. Lineage: Bacteria; Bacillati; Chloroflexota.
UCCGACAAAGGCAAAACCGGUGAAAGCCGGUGACGCAAAGCCAUGGGUCUACCGUCACGCAAGUGACCACGAUCGCCAGGCCGCCGAGA